This 465-nucleotide ribosomal RNA is filed under the name uncultured bacterium. RNAcentral's name for it is "bacterial SSU rRNA". It matches the Rfam family "Bacterial small subunit ribosomal RNA", at positions 329 to 793 of the family's 1533-position model. The record is from RNAcentral.
UUCCAGACUCCUACGGGAGGCAGCAGUGGGGAAUAUUGCACAAUGGGGGAAACCCUGAUGCAGCGACGCCGCGUGAGUGAAGAAGUAUUUCGGUAUGUAAAGCUCUAUCAGCAGGGAAGAAAUAGCGACCUUUGGGUCGCCAGACGGUACCUGAUUAAGAAGCCACGGCUAACUACGUGCCAGCAGCCGCGGUAAUACGUAGGUGGCAAGCGUUGUCCGGAUUUACUGGGUGUAAAGGGCGUGUAGCCGGGCUGACAAGUCAGAUGUGAAAUCCGGGGGCUCAACCCCCGAACUGCAUUUGAAACUGUUGGUCUUGAGUAUCGGAGAGGCAGGCGGAAUUCCUAGUGUAGCGGUGAAAUGCGUAGAUAUUAGGAGGAACACCAGUGGCGAAGGCGGCUUACUGGACUGUAACUGACACUGAGGCACGAAAGCGUGGGGAGCAAACAGGAUUAGAUACCCUUGUAG